CUGCUGCCUCCCGUAGGAGUUUGGACCGUGUCUCAGUUCCAAUGUGGGGAACCUUCCUCUCAGAACCCCUACGCAUCGUCGGCUUGGUGGGCCGUUGCCCCACCAACUACCUAAUGCGCCGCAUGCCCAUCCGUGACCGGGGUCGCCCCCUUUGGCCGGCAGGGGAUGUCCCCUCCCGGCAUUAUGUUGUAUUAGGCGGGAUUUCUCCCGGUUAUCCAUCUGUCACGGCCAGGUUGCAUACGUGUUACUCACCCGUGCGCCGGUCGCCGGCGG
This 273-nucleotide ribosomal RNA is filed under the name uncultured bacterium. Its description in RNAcentral is "partial 16S ribosomal RNA". The record is from RNAcentral.